This is a transfer RNA of 73 nucleotides. It matches the Rfam family "tRNA". From Rfam's summary of the family: Transfer RNA (tRNA) molecules are approximately 80 nucleotides in length. Their secondary structure includes four short double-helical elements and three loops (D, anti-codon, and T loops). Further hydrogen bonds mediate the characteristic L-shaped molecular structure. tRNAs have two regions of fundamental functional importance: the anti-codon, which is responsible for specific mRNA codon recognition, and the 3' end, to which the tRNAs corresponding amino acid is attached (by aminoacyl-tRNA synthetases). tRNAs cope with the degeneracy of the genetic code in two manners: having more than one tRNA (with a specific anti-codon) for a particular amino acid; and 'wobble' base-pairing, i.e. permitting non-standard base-pairing at the 3rd anti-codon position. The record is from Rfam.
UGCGGACUGGUGUAGUGGAGAACAUUACCGGCUCAUGCCCGGUAGAGGUGAGGUUCGAUUCCUCUGUCCGCAU